GAUGAAGAACGUAGCGAAAUGCGAUAAGUAAUGUGAAUUGCAGAAUUCAGUGAAUCAUCGAAUCUUUGAACGCACCUUGCGCCUUUUGGUAUUCCGAAAGGCACACCUGUUUGAGCGUCAUGAAUACCUCAAUCUCCAUCUUUUCAUCGGAUUGAUGGGUGACUUGGAUGUUGAGCCCUGCUGGUAUGCUAUAUCAGCUGGCUUUAAACUUAUUAGCCGGCUCUGUACUGGAUCGGUUUGACUCGACGUGAUAAUAUUAUCGUUGAGGAUGCAUGUCUCAUGCAGCCGGAAAGUAUCAAAGCAGCUUCUAGCUUGCCUUUAGUGCACUUUUACAUUUUAGACCUCAGAUCAGGUGGGACUACCCGCUGAACUUAAGCAUAUCAAUAAGCGGAGGA
Molecule: unclassified non-coding RNA, 395 nt
Filed under: soil metagenome
Description: partial contains 5.8S ribosomal RNA, internal transcribed spacer 2, and large subunit ribosomal RNA
Rfam family: 5.8S ribosomal RNA (bases 1-120)
Source: RNAcentral